Molecule: ribosomal RNA, 253 nt
Filed under: uncultured bacterium
Lineage: Bacteria
Description: partial 16S ribosomal RNA
Rfam family: Bacterial small subunit ribosomal RNA
Source: RNAcentral
UACGUAGGGGGCGAGCGUUGUCCGGAAUUACUGGGUGUAAAGGGCGUGUAGGCGGGACUGCAAGUCAGAUGUGAAAGACCGGGGCUCAACCCCGGGGCUGCAUUUGAAACUGUAGUUCUUGAGUGCAGGAGAGGAAAGCGGAAUUCCUAGUGUAGCGGUGAAAUGCGUAGAUAUUAGGAGGAACACCAGUGGCGAAGGCGGCUUUCUGGACUGUAACUGACGCUGAGGCGAGAAAGCGUGGGGAGCAAACAGG